AAAGUGGAGCAAUCCAUGAGUAGAGUGGCAAACGGGUGAGUAACGCGUGGGUGACCUACCUUCGAGUGGGGGAUAACGUCCCGAAAGGGACGCUAAUACCGCAUGACAUCCUGCCUUUGAACAGGCGGAGAUCAAAGCCGGGGAUCGCAAGACCUGGCGCUUGAAGAGGGGCCCGCGUCUGAUUAGCUAGUUGGUGGGGUAACGGCUCACCAAGGCGACGAUCAGUAUCCGGCCUGAGAGGGCGGACGGACACACUGGGACUGAGACACGGCCCAGACUCCUACGGGAGGCAGCAGUGGGGAAUUGUUCACAAUGGGCGCAAGCCUGAUGACGCAACGCCGCGUGGAGGAUGAAGGUCUUCGGAUUGUAAACUCCUGUUGCUCGGGACGAAAAGCUCCGACCUAAUACGUCGGAGUCUGACGGUACCGGGUGAGGAAGCCCCGGCUAACUCUGUGCCAGCAGCCGCGGUAAUACAGAGGGGGCAAGCGUUGUUCGGAAUUACUGGGCGUAAAGGGCGCGUAGGCGGCCUGCUAAGUCGAACGUGAAAUCCCCGGGCUCAACCCGGGAACUGCGUCCGAUACUGGCGGGCUUGAAUCCGGGAGAGGGAUGUGGAAUUCCAGGUGUAGCGGUGAAAUGCGUAGAUAUCUGGAGGAACACCGGUGGCGAAGGCGGCAUCCUGGACCGGUAUUGACGCUGAGGCGCGAAAGCCAGGGGAGCAAACGGGAUUAGAUACCCCGGUAGUCCUGGCCCUAAACGAUGAAUGCUUGGUGUGGCGGGUAUCGAUCCCUGCCGUGCCGAAGCUAACGCAUUAAGCA
This 815-nucleotide ribosomal RNA is filed under the name uncultured Acidobacteriota bacterium. Its description in RNAcentral is "bacterial SSU rRNA". It matches the Rfam family "Bacterial small subunit ribosomal RNA", at positions 71 to 866 of the family's 1533-position model. Lineage: Bacteria; Pseudomonadati; Acidobacteriota. The record is from RNAcentral.